Long non-coding RNA from Homo sapiens (human), 963 nucleotides. NCBI's taxonomy places the organism in Eukaryota, Metazoa, Chordata, Mammalia, Primates, Hominidae. The record is from Ensembl.
AGAGGAAGAAGAAACAUAAAUGGGGCCUGGACUUUCACUUCACAGCAAAGUAGCCCAGGAAGUUUGAGGAGACUCAGAGUCACUGUCAAGUCGUCAAGGACCUGGGUCACCCUGCAUCCCCAUCUGGGGCUCCUUCUAUAUCAGUUUUCCUGAAGCUUAGUCCAACUUCUUGAAGUGGGCCAAGAAAAGGCUGUUUCCAGAAUUGGAUAUUGCAUCUCUAAAACACAAGCUUCACUGAUGUCGUGGAGUCUAUGAGACACAAACUUUAUCUCAUAUGGUAGAAUCCGGAAUGAUCAGCCAUCGCUUCACACCCAAGGAAAGAACUGCUGUCCAGUGCCAGGCCCAGAGCUUCAUGGUUUGUGGCAAGUCUUUGGAAAGAUAACGUCUAACUUCAUUCAUUUUAGCUGAAAAUACCCCAUGGUGGCAUUUUUCUGGUCUCCCUACUAAAAAAGUUUAUAACCCGGCCUACGCCUCCUCAGAACUCUGAAAAAUGUACCUUUUCCACCUCACAAGGCUUGGUUCCACUUUCUGACAGCAAGAGAACAUUGCGAAGAGAAAUGUGAAUGGGUUUCAUCAUGAUUUCUGAUAAGACAUUGUGUUGACCUUUUGAGGUACAGCCACAGAUCAGCAGAGGUACUAAGAACAUACAUGUGGAAAAGACAAUUUCUUCGAUAGAUGAUAUUGAGAAAGCUGGAUGUCCACAUGCAGAAGGAUGAAAUUGGACCUUUAUCUCACAUCAUAGAUAAAAAUCAACUCAGAAUGGAUUAAAGACUUAAACAUAAGGUCUGAAGCUGUAAAACUAGUAGAAGGAAAUAGGAGAAAGCUUCAUAACAUUGGCCUGGGCAAUGAUUUUUAAAAUAUGACUCAAAAACCACAAGUGACCAAAGUAAAAAUAGACGAAUGGGUUGCAUCAAACUAAGCUUUUGUCCAGCAAAGGGAAAAAUUAACAGAGUAAAGAGACAA